UCCCACUACGUUGCUACGACCAAGAAGGGUAAAGGAAUAGCAUUACUACUUGUUGUUAGGGAGACUCCUAUAUAUGUCGACCUCCAUCCUCCACGGACAGGCAGACUUGCAAAAAUGCUCAACCCUUCCUCAUAUCUGAAAGGGCACUCCCAACGAAGCCUCUCGAAAUACUCAGCUUUCUUCCCCCCAAUAAUACCUAUACAAACCAGCCACACCAGAGCAAGAGUAUCUCAUAUCAUAAGGGUCAAAAGCAAGAGUAUCUCAUAUCAUGCUUUUCCCCUGUCUUUUCCUUUGCCCUUGUUCUUACCUGCAAGAUAAGGAGAAAGAAAGCAAUCAGUCAGCACUUGGAAUCAAG
RNAcentral lists this long non-coding RNA (355 nucleotides) under Malus domestica (apple). RNAcentral describes it as "long non-coding RNA (MDOM_LNC015887)". The record is from RNAcentral. Lineage: Eukaryota; Viridiplantae; Streptophyta; Magnoliopsida; Rosales; Rosaceae.